This 90-nucleotide transfer RNA is filed under the name Dreissena polymorpha. It matches the Rfam family "tRNA". Rfam says of the family: Transfer RNA (tRNA) molecules are approximately 80 nucleotides in length. Lineage: Eukaryota; Metazoa; Mollusca; Bivalvia; Myida; Dreissenidae. The record is from Rfam by way of RNAcentral.
GCCGGAAUAGUUCAGUUAGGAGAGCGUUAGACUGAAGUUGUUUACAAAACAAUCAUCUAAAGGCCUCCGGUUCAAUUCCGGGUUCCGGCA